RNAcentral lists this ribosomal RNA (448 nucleotides) under uncultured bacterium. Its description in RNAcentral is "bacterial SSU rRNA". It matches the Rfam family "Bacterial small subunit ribosomal RNA", at positions 328 to 792 of the family's 1533-position model. The record is from RNAcentral.
GAGCCAGACUCCUACGGGAGGCAGCGGUGGGGGAUAUUGCACAAUGGGGGGAACCCUGAUGCAGCGACGCCGCGUGGGUGAAGGAGUAUUUCGGUAUGUAAAGCCCUAUCGGCAGGGAAGAAGCAAGACGGUACCUGACUAAGAAGCCCCGGCUAACUACGUGCCAGCAGCCGCGGUAAUACGUAGGGGGCAAGCGUUAUCCGGAUUUACUGGGUGUAAAGGGAGCGUAGACGGCCAGACAAGUCUGAAGUGAAAAUCCAGCGCUUAACGUUGGAAGUGCUUUGGAAACUGCCGGGCUAGAGUGCAGGAGGGGCAGGCGGAAUUCCUAGUGUAGCGGUGAAAUGCGUAGAUAUUAGGAGGAACACCAGUGGCGAAGGCGGCCUGCUGGACUGCAACUGACGUUGAGGCUCGAAGGCGUGGGGAGCAAACAGGAUUAGAUACCCGGGUA